UUUUGUUUUUGCUUUUUUUUUAAAGGAAGGAAUCUAGAGAAUUGAAUAUUUCCAUGGAUUAAUUACUUCGACAAACAUAAAUGAAAUUUUGGGAAACAUAACUAAAAACUGAGAAUAAUAUCCAAUGAAAUAAACCAGUGUAUAUAAUACAAAACAACAACCGCAACCGUUAAAAAAAAACAACAACAACCGUUCAAACUGCCAAUGAAUUAGAUAUCGAAGGGUCACUCACUCACUCCAAUAGAGAGACUUCCAGUUUAAU
RNAcentral lists this long non-coding RNA (262 nucleotides) under Capsella rubella. RNAcentral describes it as "long non-coding RNA (CRUB_LNC002245)". The record is from RNAcentral. Lineage: Eukaryota; Viridiplantae; Streptophyta; Magnoliopsida; Brassicales; Brassicaceae.